RNAcentral lists this ribosomal RNA (275 nucleotides) under uncultured bacterium. Its description in RNAcentral is "partial 16S ribosomal RNA". It matches the Rfam family "Bacterial small subunit ribosomal RNA", at positions 338 to 611 of the family's 1533-position model. The record is from RNAcentral.
CCUACGGGUGGCUGCAGUAGGGAAUAUUGGGCAAUGGAGGCAACUCUGACCCAGCCAUGCCGCGUGCAGGAAGAAGGCGCUCCGCGUUGUAAACUGCUUUUGUCGGGGAAGAAACGACCCCUGCGGGGGGCAUUGACGGUACCCGAUGAAUAAGCACCGGCUAACUCCGUGCCAGCAGCCGCGGUAAUACGGAGGGUGCAAGCGUUGUCCGGAUUUAUUGGGUUUAAAGGGUGCGCAGGCGGGGGGGUCAGUCCGCGGUGAAAGACGAUCGCUCA